UGAGGCGCCUGGACGGUCGCUCCGCCGCAAGGUGGGGAGGAAAGUCCGGGCUCCACGGGUCAGGGUGGUUGUCAACGGCAACCGGCCGCGAGGCCAGGGAAAGUGCCACAGAGAACAGACCGCCUCGUGCGGGCGCCUUCGCGGGCGGCCGCGCGGUAAGGGUGAAACGGUGCGGUAAGAGCGCACCGCGGACCUGGUGACAAGUCCGGCACGGCAAACCCCACCCGGAGAAAGAUCAAAUAGGGAAGGACACGUGGCGACGACCCUCGUCCAGGGCCUUCCGGGUAGAUCGUUCGAGGCCGGGCGCGAGGUCGGUCCCAGAGAAAUGGCCGUCGCCCCUCGCGGGGAGACAGAACCCGGCUUACAGGGCGCCUCACGCC
RNAcentral lists this RNase P RNA (380 nucleotides) under Planctomycetota bacterium. Its description in RNAcentral is "RNase P RNA component class A". It matches the Rfam family "Bacterial RNase P class A". From Rfam's summary of the family: Ribonuclease P (RNase P) is a ubiquitous endoribonuclease, found in archaea, bacteria and eukarya as well as chloroplasts and mitochondria. Lineage: Bacteria; Pseudomonadati; Planctomycetota. The record is from RNAcentral.